CUUAUUUAAAAUAAAAAAUAAUAAAUCUAAUAUUUCAAUAGUUUGUAUCUGGUCUUAAACUGUAAAGCAAGUAGAAUUCAUUUUACAUGUACUUUAAAAUCCAUCCAAACAAGUGUUUCUUUAAGUUCAUAGCAGUAGUGUAGCCUUGAAUAUGUAAAAAUAAAAACAAGGCAAAGUCUCUAGAGGAAGCAGUAAUUUUUAUUUGACUGUUAGAGUGUGCAAAACUCUAACAGUUUGUUUUUUUUGUUUGUUUUUUACAGAUGCUUUCAGGCGCACAAACUCUUUUUGAGGUUUGAAACGGAAGCCACAGGCUUCAGGCUUUCUGCAGGUUGGAAACAUUGCUGCAAGUAUAAUUUAAUUACCGUGGAGCAGAGCAAGGCGAUAAGGUGAUAGCCCUCCAGGGGACAGGUAGAGAGGAGCCUCCUUUUAGUCAUAGUUUUCCAUGCAAAGGAUUUACAGCCUGUGCCACAGUAUUAGCAACAUCCGGAUCUUCUCUGGACAGUGACAAUGAUGAUCAUCAUGCAGCACUGGCAUUCACAACAUUAUGCUUAAACUCUUGAGUUUUUCCACAUGGUGCUUGGGUGAAUGCUAUAAAUAGCCAGUACGUGCUCUAGCUUUGGUUAUUUUCUCAUCAUACAGGAGAGCAGGAUGGAAAAGUGCGGCACACAGCAAUGCAGAGACUGGCACAGAGUCUUACAGCUGGGGAUCUGCCAGGAUGGAAAUUUAUUGUAAUAGAAAUAAGCUGUAAGAUCCCUGUGCUGCCAACACAGUAGUGAGCUGGCACAGUCCAAAAAGUACGUGACUGAAGGCUUCAGAAGAUGGAAGUGCCUUUCUUAGUCCUUCUUUUUGCAGAAGCCAACAGGAAGGGAAGAAUGGCCAAUGCUCACACUCCGAGCCAUUAACGUGUAAGGUUAGAGGAAGGUAUUUUCACAUUCAAAGUGUGAAUCUGGCUAAUUCAGAGCCUUGGGGUGCCUCUGCUUUGCCACCCAGCACAGUGCCGUAGGUUAGGUGAAGUG
Molecule: long non-coding RNA, 1016 nt
Filed under: Anser brachyrhynchus (Pink-footed goose)
Lineage: Eukaryota; Metazoa; Chordata; Aves; Anseriformes; Anatidae
Description: lncRNA (ENSABRG00000010386.1)
Source: RNAcentral